UCCCAGCCGGAAUAGGAAUAAGAAAUUAUGUUGUUUUCCACAGAGGCGGAGGAAAGGAAGCUGAUUUCCUCCUGCUGGAGAGAAACCAAAUAAGGAAGAAGUCUCUAAGGGUGGCAUUGUCCACAAAAUUCGUGGAUUGCAGGUCUUUAUGAGAUGUACUCCGGGGGAAAUGCGCAACAGCAACAGUGAAUGGAGCCCUGCUGAAUAGUGCUUAGCUGGGGACUGAAACCCUCCGCUUCCACUAAGUCAGCUUUGCCCAGCCUGCAAGAGCUGAGGGCUCAGGGCACUGACGGGGAGGAUUUCUCCACGGAGCAGGAGAUUUGCACUCAUGCAGGACUGGGCACAUUUGGACUCUUUGGUUCUAUUGUUUUGUUUCUCACCAUCUCCGGGCUUUGCUUGCUGCUCCAGGGAGUCUGUGCGUGGAUUCAGCUGGACAGACCAGAACAAAGGCAGCAACACCUCAUGCUCCCUUUGUAUCAUCCUCACAGAGGCUGCUGUAAGGCACGGGGGUGGUCCCAGCAGCAGCCAGGAUCUCUGAGCCUCAACUCCCAUUACAUUUACUCACCUAUUUUGGCCAUGUCAUGUCUCUUCCUGCUUUUCUACAGCACUACUUUGGAGCCAGACUGUCAGGACCCAGAGGGCACUAACUGUCCUUAAUAGUCCUGACUGGCCUCACCUGGGGCCUCCAUCACACCACCUGCCAUGGGCCCAGGAGCCCAUUUCAACUCAGCCCAGGACAUUUGGUGGUGCCUGAACUAUGAUAAAGGAGUGUCUGUCGCUUAUCCAGCUAUAGCUGUGCCUGUUUCUGGCUGUGGGUCCUGUUGAUCCUGGCUUCCUGGCUUGACCUGCCUCAUCACCAUGAACUUGUCUAAAGGUCUGGAGUCUUGGCUGAACCUGGUGAUCAUGCCUGCACUGCUUGCCUUGCUUAGGUACUGUGGGAAGGGACUCUGGCUGGUGAGGUCCCUGUUCUGCUGGUCGACUUAUCACACCCUGCUCUGCUCCUCUAGGGAGCUGCUGGCCCUUGCUGCACUCUGGCAUGGGCCCUGUCACCCAGGACUCUGGCUGUCCUGGGGCAAUUGCCUGGCCCCAGUGCAGGCGUGUUGUGGCUGAAGCAGCGUUUGGAGCCAGCCCGUGUCGUUCAGCAUGAAAUCACGGUUAGUAGGCAGCUUACUUUCUCUUGUCUGAAUGCGGUCCUCAAAGGAAAAGCUCUAGUCAGCAAAGAGGGCACCUCACAGCUGGAGCAAGCAGGAGGAUUCAGAGACUUGAUGGGAGAGAGAGAUAGCCACUGCGGGCUGCUGCAGGAACUGUGUAACUGGAAGGCUGA
Molecule: non-coding RNA, 1324 nt
Organism: Struthio camelus australis
Lineage: Eukaryota; Metazoa; Chordata; Aves; Struthioniformes; Struthionidae
Source: RefSeq, a predicted model, not a curated record